UUCUGCGCUCCGAAACUUGGACUCUGUCCCAUUGAGAAUAUGGUUAGGAAACCAGACUGCAAGCCCCUGCCGUGGAGUAUCCACCUGCUCAGGAGAACCCGUCCCCAGGUGGGGAGGGUGCUGCUCCCACGAAUAUCACCGUGGGGCUCCAGCGCCAUCACCUGCCUCCCUGGCUUGCAAGCCAUGCUUCCUCAUGGCGGUCUACUCUUUAACAGAUGCUUGUAAGAGGAAAGAUGGUUCCUGUUUAUUCACCAGAUAGGGUUCCAGGGGUGAUGCCAAGUGCCUGAUGGAAAGACGAAUGUCAAGGAGCCUGCAGGCCACUCAGCAGCAAGGCAGGAAUGCAUCGUGGAGGCAGGACCAUGACCUCUGUUGGGGAGCAGAUGCUGGAGAACAGCUCCGACUCCUCCCAGCACUGAUGCUGCCUUCCCACGAGCACCUGUGGAUUCCUCCCAGCCUGGCUCCUGCUUUGACUGCAGGAUUUGCUCCGUCUCCUCUCCAAUGAUGCCUCCAUCUUUGCUCAGGUCUGAAUUCUCAUUACCCUUCCCUCCAGCCCCCAGCUCAGACAUGAUCUCCUUUCUGGCUUCUCCUGAGGUUUAAUAGCUGUCCGUCCUCUCCCUGCCCCAGACAUUUCCUGAUAUGACCAGGCAGAACUCCCCAGCUGCUCUUCCAGGAGAGAAGCUCUGUCAAUCCAUCAUGAUAACCUCUCAGUGUCUCGCACAGCGUGGGCUUCAAUUCAUAUAUGUGGAAAUUGGGCAAAAAUUGAGAAAGUCCCCGUGGAAAGAGUUGUCUGAGGAGGUGACAAAGGAAGGCUUAAUAUAAUAGA
This 823-nucleotide long non-coding RNA is filed under the name Homo sapiens (human). RNAcentral's name for it is "HSALNT0023477". Lineage: Eukaryota; Metazoa; Chordata; Mammalia; Primates; Hominidae. The record is from RNAcentral.